Molecule: ribosomal RNA, 850 nt
Filed under: uncultured organism
Description: bacterial SSU rRNA
Rfam family: Bacterial small subunit ribosomal RNA
Source: RNAcentral
GGAGGGUGCAAGCGUUAUCCGGAUUUAUUGGGUUUAAAGGGUCCGCAGGCGGACUAAUAAGUCAGUGGUGAAAUCUCUCGGCUCAACCGAGAAACUGCCAUUGAUACUGUUAGUCUAGAGUGUAGUUGGCGUAGGCGGAAUGUAUCAUGUAGCGGUGAAAUGCUUAGAUAUGAUACAGAACACCGAUCGCGAAGGCAGCUUACGAAACUACAACUGACGCUCAGGGACGAAAGCGUGGGGAGCGAACAGGAUUAGAUACCCUGGUAGUCCACGCCGUAAACGAUGAUUACUCGUUGUCGGCAAUAUACAGUCGGUGGCUAAGCGAAAGCGAUAAGUAAUCCACCUGGGGAGUACGAUCGCAAGGUUGAAACUCAAAGGAAUUGACGGGGGCCCGCACAAGCGGAGGAGCAUGUGGUUUAAUUCGAUGAUACGCGAGGAACCUUACCUGGGCUUAAAUGCUUAAUGACUUACUGGGAAACCGGUAUUUCUUCGGACAUUUUGCAAGGUGCUGCAUGGUUGUCGUCAGCUCGUGCCGUGAGGUGUCGGGUUAAGUCCCAUAACGAGCGCAACCCCUAUUGUUAGUUGCCAUCAGGUAAUGCUGGGGACUCUAACAAAACUGCCCGCGUAAGCGUGGAGGAAGGUGGGGAUGACGUCAAAUCAGCACGGCCCUUACGUCCAGGGCUACACACGUGCUACAAUGGCCGAUACAGAGGGCAGCCACUUGGUGACAAGGAGCAAAUCUCAAAAGUCGGUCUCAGUUCGGAUCGGAGUCUGCAACUCGACUCCGUGAAGUUGGAUUCGCUAGUAAUCGUAGAUCAGCAACGCUACGGUGAAUACGUUCCCGGGCCUU